GAUGAACGCUGGCGGCGUGCCUAAUACAUGCGAGUCGAGCGAAUGGAUUAAGAGCUUGCUCUUAUGAAGUUAGCGGCGGACGGGUGAGUAACACGUGGGUAACCUGCCCAUAAGACUGGGAUAACUCCGGGAAACCGGGGCUAAUACCGGAUAACAUUUUGAACCGCAUGGUUCGAAAUUGAAAGGCGGCUUCGGCUGUCACUUAUGGAUGGACCCGCGUCGCAUUAGCUAGUUGGUGAGGUAACGGCUCACCAAGGCAACGAUGCGUAGCCGACCUGAGAGGGUGAGCGGCCACACUGGGACUGAGACACGGCCCAGACUACUACGGGAGGCAGCAGUAGGGAAUCUUCCGCAAGGGACGAAAGUCUGACGGAGCAACGCCGCGUGGGUGAUGAAGGCUCUCGGGUCGUAAAACUCUGUUGUUAGGGAAGAACAAGUGCUAGUUGAAUAAGCUGACACCUUGACGGUACCUAACCAGAAGGCCACGGCUAACUACGUGCCAGCCGCCGCGGUAA
RNAcentral lists this ribosomal RNA (515 nucleotides) under uncultured bacterium. RNAcentral describes it as "partial 16S ribosomal RNA". It matches the Rfam family "Bacterial small subunit ribosomal RNA", at positions 28 to 523 of the family's 1533-position model. The record is from RNAcentral.